GGGUUCGAGGUCCAACAAGUUCUCUCUCUCCGAUUGAAGGUCCAACAAACGCUCCUCUCUUCUCUGUUGGCUUGUCAAGUGGCCUGAGAUUUCAGUUCCUACAGCCAUUUGAUAACAGUAGAAGAUUUCGACGCAAUUGUAUCUUCGGAUGGAUAUUAUACCAUCUGUGGAUUUGGCUCUCUGCUAUCUGGCUACGAUUGAAUUGUAAAUGAAGGAACUUCAAGAGAAAACGAAUCCUACCGGAUUGAGGCGGCGGCUCGGGAACAUGCCUUGACGCCACCAAGGGAAUUAGAGAAGCAUACAGAAUGAAGGCUGCAAAUGCAGCACACAAGACGUACUUCAAUGUUGUCUGCAUCCUUUCUCUCUCUCUCACUCAAGGUGAGCAGGGGACUAGAAUCCGAGCUCCAUUUAUAAUCCCAUAAGUUUCUUACAAGAAUGUGGCCUGUCAUUAUCAGUAGACCGUGUGGGGCAGUGCCAUUCACUCAAGACUCUCUUUCUCUCUCCUCUUGCUCUCCUCUAUGAGAAAUCUCUCACUUGAUGCACUUGUGGCUCCAAUUUGGGCUUUGGGUCAAGAAAGGAAAGAUGACCGCUAGUCAUAGCGUGUGGGGCAGUGCCAUUCACUCAAGACUCUCUUUCUCUCUCCUCUCGCUCUCCUCUAUGAGAAAUCUCUCUCUUGAUGCACUAGUGGCUCCAAUUUGGGCUUUGAGUCGAGAAAGGAAAGAUGACCGCUAGUCAUAAAAGCCAGUUAACCAUUGAUUCCGCACCAUUAGAAGGUGGUGACUCGGUGUGGGGUGUAAUAAGCUUGAUUGAGAUCACAUGGUGUACAUUUACAAGAGACGUAGUCGAAGUGCAACCUCACGCGUGGUACUUUGAAAUGGCAAUUGUAAACGAGAGGUAUGGCUGGCAACUGGUCUGGCUCAAGCUUGGCCAACAUGGGCCUAGCGUGUCUAGAAAAUCUAUAGCUAGACUGGGGUAUAAUUCAAGGCCAAAUUUUUGAAGCAGUUCGGGCCUGAGAAUAUCCCUCGUCUUUUUUAAUGAUGCUCGAGACUGACCAAAAACUCGGCGUUACCAGGUUGACUGCAAAUCAGACCAACACGGAAGACUUAGGGAUCGUUUGAUUGGCAGUUCGAAUACAUUAUGUCACUACUUCCAACCAUACCUUUUUAGCCCUAUCACUUAUUCUUGUUUAGCUUUUCACUUGAACCAACUCAUAUCUCAUAGAUUUUAUGAGUAUAUAUGUGUGUAAAUUGUAUUUGCAAUAAAUGAAUUUUUGACCAUUUCAAUC
Molecule: RNA transcript, 1285 nt
Organism: Amborella trichopoda
Lineage: Eukaryota; Viridiplantae; Streptophyta; Magnoliopsida; Amborellales; Amborellaceae
Source: RefSeq, a predicted model, not a curated record